Molecule: long non-coding RNA, 7521 nt
Filed under: Malus domestica (apple)
Lineage: Eukaryota; Viridiplantae; Streptophyta; Magnoliopsida; Rosales; Rosaceae
Description: long non-coding RNA (MDOM_LNC002376)
Source: RNAcentral
UAUAUUUAUAUCAAAUUGGUCCACUCACGUUUGUUUUGCACCCCCUUCAGGACCUACGAACGAGGAUUACGAUUUAAGCUACGAGACAUUUCCCUACCAAUGAUUCAGUGUUAUAUUUCCUUUGUUUCGACACUUAUUGUAAUAUAGCACAUCUAUAUCUUAUAUUCUGUUUGUACUCUGUAAUAGACGUAUGCUCUGAACUUAUGUGUAUGACCAUAAUUUUAUUAAUUAGCAGUUGAACUUUUGUAUUAUGUUACUAGUUCCUUUUGACUGUUUUAACUUAUUUCUGAGCUUUUACUUAAAUUAAAUGGCUUUCGUCACCCUUCAGGUGUCGGCCAGCACUUAACCAUCCCAAUGUCCUGAAGACAUCGGGAUCGGGGCGUGUCAGAUUGGUAUAAGAGCGUGAUUCAUUCAGAGCAUACUUAGGAUUCCUUUCCACCAUUUGGUAAUUAUAAUUCUCAUUAUAUCCUUAAUUUCCAGUUGUUCUAAAUCUUUCUUGUUUCUUAUCAGAAUUAUGGAUCUUGCUGGUGUACCUCGUCGAGCUCGUUCUGGAAUAGGGGGAGGAAUCGAACAAUUGGCUAAUGUUUAACGAAAUUCCUUUACUAAUAGAUCAAAACGCACAUAUAUUGAGAUUGCUACCAGUCAUGGUAUUCCGGAUAUUCGAGUAGUGGGAGCCUGUCCGGAGGCCGAGGAAUGGUUGGAGUAGGUGGAAGACACUCUGGAUGGUAUGAGAUGGCCACCAGGUGAGUGGGCGGAGACUGCAGGUUAUUUUCUUAAGGGAGGUGCUAAGGUUUGGUGGAAAUCAGUGAAGCAUGCUCGUCCACCAGGUACUUCGAUGACUUGGGCGGCAUUCCGGAAAGCUUUAAGUGCAUAUUUUCUGAGUCCCAGUUAUCAACUGAGGAUGAGACAGUAAUUUCUGGAGUUUCGUUAAGGCAAUCUAAGUAUCACUGAGGUGGAUAAUACUUUUCGACGCCUGUCGAGACAUCAUGCAGAGACUUAUGGAAACCCUAGCGAGAUGAUGGUUCAGUUACUAAUUUGCUUGAAUCCAGACUAUCGUGAACAAGUGGCAGCCAUAAGGCAUAGAAGUUACGAGGAGAUGAUCGAGACCUGUUUGAGAAUUGAGCAAUCUAGGUGAGAGACUCAUAACCAGGAGCAGGCACAGUUUCAGGAACCACCCAUAUAUCAGGAACAACCUCGAAACCAGAACCAGAGAGGUCGUGGUUUUCGAUCUCGGAGUGUGAGGGAAUCAUGUAGCUCCUCUAAUUUUGUUGGCCCUAGACACUCUCAUUCUUUCAAACGUCAGGGUCAGGGUUUAGGUUCUUCUAGCGAGGGUUCAGGCAAUGAAUCUGGAAGGCGAUCUUUCAGUCACUUCAGAUCGCAUAUUACGUGUCACAGGUGUGGAUGCACGGGGCAUAUUGCCAGAUUUUGCCCUUCAAGACAACCUGCUGAGAGUUAUGCAUCUGUGCCGAGUUAUGGUAGAGGGGGUAAUCCGAGUUCUAGUUAUGGCGGUAAUUAUACUCAGAACUAUGGUGGGAAUGGAAGUAGAAGUCAGAAUACUCAAUUUUCCACUCAGAGACAGCCGCAACAGUUUGGUGCAGCUUCAAGUAGCCGCUCACAGGGGAAUCGAGCAGGUCGUAACGGUGGUGCAGAACGUCAGUUUCAUGGACGUAUCAACGCCAUGACACAACAGGAAGCUGAUCAAGAUCCUCAAGUUAUUACUGGUAUGUUACUUAUUUGUGGUAAUUGGGCGAGGGUUCUAAUUGAUCCGGGUGCUACUUUUUCAUUUGUGUUUUCAUCAUUUGCACUGAAUUUAAAUGCACCACCUACACCUCUUGGAUAUGAUAUGCUUGUGCAAAUGUCACAAGGAGAUCUAUUUUGUGCUUAGUGGGAGUAUAAAAGUUGCCUGGUAAUAGUGGAAUGGGAAAUGAUGGAGGCUAAUCUGGUCUCUCUUAAUUUGGCGAAGUUUGAUGUUAUUUUAGGGAUGGAUUGGCUAUCCAGGCACCAUGCUUAUGUCGCAUGUUGGGAGAAAUCUAUGACGUUCAAUCGGUCUGGACGGCCGUUGAUCACAUUUCAGGGUGAGCGAUGAAUCCUUCUUAGUAGCAUUAUUUCCCCUAUUCAGGUGACUAAAUUGUUGAGUAGGGGAUGUGUGGGAUUCUUAGCCCAUGUAGUGACAAGGGAUAAACCUUUGUUGAGACCUAAGGAUGUGCCAGUGGUGAAACAAUUUAUCGAUGUUUUUCCGAAGGAUUUACCAAGGUUACCGCCUGCGAGGGAAAUUGAAUUUACCAUCGAUUUACUUCCAGGUACAGACCCUAUCUCUUUACCACCCUAUCGAAUGGCACCAGCAGAAUUGAGGGAAUUGAAGAUUCAACUUCAAGAGUUAGUGGAUAAAGGUUACAUCCAACGCAGCAUGUCUCCCUGCGGCGCUUCUGUUUUAUUUGUUAAAAAGAAAGAUGGAUCGAUGAGACUUUGCAUCGACUACCGGCAGCUAAACCGGGUGACGGUGAAGAAUCGUUAUCCUCUGCCUCAGAUCGAUGACCUGUUUGACCAGCUGAAUAGUGCUCAGCUGUUCUUUAAGAUCGAUCUUCACUCAGGUUAUCAUCAGCUGCUAAUUCGGGAGGAAGAUGUAUCGAAGACUACCUUCCGCACUAGGUACGGACACUUUGAAUUUCAUGUCAUGCCUUUCAGAUUGACGAAUGCACCUGCAAUGUUCAUGGAUUUGAUGAACAGAGUUUUCAGACCGUAUCUAGAUCGGUUUGUGAUUGUGUUCAUCGAUGAUAUUUUGAUCUUUUCCAAGAGUGUUAGCGAGCACAGGAAGCAUUUAAGGUUGGUGCUGGAAAAGUUGAGAAGUCAGCAGCUGUAUGCUAAGUUUAGCAAGAGUCAGUUCUGGCUAAACCAAAUCAGCUUUCUCGGUCAUGUAGUAUCUGCUGAGGGGAUUAGUGUGGAUCCUCAGAAGGUGUCGGCAAUAACUACGUAGGAGCAACCGAGGAAUGUUACAGAAGUGAGGAGUUUUCUUCUAGGUCUGGCUGGCUAUUACCGAAGAUUUUUUAAAGGUUUCUCAUCCAUUGCCUUACCUUUGAAUAAGUUGACUCGGAAGGAAGUUGAGUUUAAGUGGGAUGAAGAUUGUGAGCGGAGUUUUCAGGAGCUGAAGCGAUGUCUCACUCAAGCUCCCGUUCUUACGCUUCCGGACGAUAGCGGUGAGUUUGAGAUCUACACGGAUGCAUUUCUGUCAGAUUUGGGUUGUGUAUUGAUGCAACAUGAUAAAGUCAUUGCUUAUGCUUCUAGACAACUCAAGAUUCACGAGAGAAACUAUCUCACUCAUGAUUUGGAACUUGGUGCAGUGGUGUUCGCUCUAAAGAUUUGGAGACAUUAUUUGUACGGUGAGAAGUGUCGCAUCUUUACUGAUCAUAAGAGCCUCAAGUAUAUCUUUACGCAGAGAGACUUGAACUUGAGGCAGAGAAGAUGGAUGGAACUUACCACUAAUUAUAACUGCACGAUUGAAUAUCAUACCGGACAUGCCAAUGUAGUGGCGGAUGCACUUAGUCGAAAAUAUCACGGACAGCUUGCAUCCCUUCAAGCUAUUCAUGUUCCGCUACUAUUUUCUCUUCGAGAAACAGGCGUGCCGGUGAGACUAGGUGAACAGGGAGCUUGGUUGGCACAUUUCCAUGUUAGACCUGUUUUGGUGGAUAUGGUUCUAGAAGCCCAAGAGCUUGAUCAGGAAUGUGCCGACAGAAAGAUUUCGGUGGAAAAAUGAGAAGAUGAACAUUUUAUUAUCCGCAAGGAUGGAGCCUUGAUGUGGGAAAACAGAUUGUAUGUGCCUCAUGAUAACGAAGCAGUAAAAAGGGAAAUUCUGGAUGAAGCACACAUGUCAGCAUAUGCCAUGCAUCCGGGAAGCACUAAAUUAUAUCGCAUUAUCCGUCCGUUUUAUUACUAGUUAGGAAUGAAGUGGGAUGUGGUGGAUUAUGUGAGUAGAUGCAUCAUUUGUCAACAGGUGAAGGCUGAGAGGCAAAGACCUGGAGGAUUGAUGCAGAAUCUUCCGAUACAAGCGUGGAAAUGGGAAGACAUCACCAUGGAUUUUGUAUAUGGUUUGCCGAGGACACAGUCGAGAUUGGACGACAUUUGGGUAAUUGUUGAUCGACUUACUAAGACCGCUCACUUCUUGCCUGUUCGAUAGACCUAUCCACUGGAGAAAUUAUCGAAGUUGUUCAUCGAUAAUAUUGUUAGAUUUCAUGGUGUACAUGUCUCUAUUGUUUCAGACAGAGAUCCCAUAUUUACUUCCAGGUUUUGGAAAGCUUUUAAUAUUGCCAUGGGUACUCAAUUGUUGUUUAGUACUGCCUAUCAUCCACAUACUGAUGGUCAGUCUGAGAGGAAAAUUCAGACAUUAGAGGACAUGUUGAGAGUGUAUGUUCUCCAAUGGAAGGGUAGUUGGGAUAGCUAUUUGUCGUUGGUUAAGUUUGCGUACAAUAAUAGCUAUCAUUCGAGUACUGGUAUGGCACCAUAUGAAGCUCUGUAUGAGAGAGUGUGUCGGAUGCCGUUGUGUUGGGCAGAGGCUGGCGAGCGAGUAUUGCUGAGACCAGAGAUUGUGGACACUACCAAUGCGAACAUCCAGCUGAUUAAGAGAAACCUCAAGGCAGCACAAGACCGACAAAAAAACAUCGCGGACAAACAUUCCAGGGAUCGUGAGUAUAAAAUUGGUGAUUAUGUAUUCUUGAAGUUGUCUCCUUGGAAGGGUGUUGUUCAUUUUGGUAAGCAAGGAAAGUUGAGUCCUCGAUACGUUGGUCCUUAUCAAAUUACAGAGAGAAUUGGUGCAGUUGCCUAUAGAUUGGAGUUGUCACCAGAGUUAUCUCUGAUUCAUAACGUUUUCCAUGUUUCCAUGCUUCGGAAAUAUGUAUCAGAUUCCUCUCAUAUCAUUCAGCUAGAGCCGCUGGAAGUAAGUCAGGAUGUUAGCUAUGUCGAAGAACCAGUGAAUAUUUUUUAUCGACAGGAUAAAGUGUUGAGGAACAAGGUUAUCUCGUUGGUGAAGGUGUUGUGGAGGAACCACGCUAUUGAGGAAGCGACGUAGGAAACGGAAGACCUGAUGAGGAGUCAGUAUCCGUUUUUAUUUGCUUAAGGUUGUAAUUUCGGGGACGAAAUUUUUAUAAGGGGGUAGAUUGUAACACUCACCCCCAUUUAUAAAAUAUAUUUAUGUAAUUAUCCACUAAAUUUUAUAAAUCUAUCAUUUUGGUCCUAUUUUGACUACCUUAUCAAGAUCUAAAAGUUGGAUUCUUUUUCUUUCUCAAGCUGCCACAUGGCAGCACCCCAAUCACCCUCUCAUUUCUCUUUAUGCCCCCCCCCCCGGUGACCCCCAUCUUCUUCUUCCUUCUGUCUAUCCCUUCUCUCCCUCUUGGAUCUCUCAUUUCUCUCCCUUUCUUCAUUGAAAUCUCAGACGCGCACACACCCACGGCGACACAACAAUUUCUCGGAAGCCAUCAUCGUCAUCAAUUUCUCAUCUUUCUCUCUCUCUCUCUUUCCCAUGCUGCAAUGACAGAAACCCGGAAAGAAACUCCAGCGAGAUUUUUCUAUUCUCCGGUUAGGUAAGCUUUGAUUUCCCUCUAUUUCAUCCUAGAAUCUUGUGAGAAUGAGUUUUAAGUUGGUUUUAUUUCAUUUUUGUUGAGGUUUUAGGACGGAAUCAACGCGGGUGUAGGCACACCCAUCUCUGGCGAACCGUGGGUGUCGAGGGAAGUUUUGGCCAUCUCCGACCAUUCCAAGGCGAAAGGAAGGUAUAAAAACACUCCCCUCGUCUUGUACUUCAUUUUGGUACCUAGAUCGGGGUCUAUGGUUGUAGUUUGUGGUCGGCCAGAGCUGUAAAAGCUCCGGCGUUCUUCUCUGUCGACGCUAGGCCUUCAGGCCGUUUCUAGGACAAGCGGGCCUUAGGCCCGUGGUGAACCUAAGCCCUUUUUGGGCCAUUCUAGAACUUGGGCUUCAAGCCCGUUCGGUCCAUAUCCCAUAUUUUAAUAUUCUGUUAUUUAUAUUUUUGUUAGUUAUUUGUUAAAACCCAAAAGGCCUUCGGGCCGUGCCACUCAGGGCUUGAGGCCAAUUGACCCAACCCAAAACCUUUUUAGGUUUUAAUCAAUUUCUGUUUUAGAAAUAAAGGCCUUAGGCCAUUUUAUUGGGCUUUCAGCCCUUUCCCAAACCCAUUAACCUUUAAUUUAAACCCAAAACCCUUAUGGCCCAUUCGGCCCAACCCAAUCCAAAGCCCAGUCUGACUUUGACCCUUUGACCAGUUGACUCUGACUGUUGACUCGGUCAACGAUCAGCGUUGACUCGAUCAACGGUCAGAGUUGACUUUAAUUUUUUACUUUGAUUGAUCAAUGGUCAACGUUGACUUUUUAGUUGACUUUUCGUCCAGGACCUCUCCUAGGCUAAUUUCGACGUCUUAGACCUGUUUUUGAAGUCUGUUUUCCCAAAUUCAAUCGUUUGAAUAGAGUUUGACUAAAGGUACUCCUUUAUGUGAAUGGGUGCAAUUAUUAACGGUGAUUCCGUUAUACUUUUUGGUACAGCUUUGCACCAUCGGUGUACGGUGAGUGGACCCCUUCAAAAGCAUUUUAAUAAUAGAAAUGCAUACAUGAAAAGCAUGAUUUAAUAAUUAUGUUUUAUGAAAUGUUGUGAGAUAACAUGCUUAUAGAGGCUAGAUUGAAUUAUUACUAUUUUUCCUAUAACCCAUGUUCUUAUAGAAUAUCCGAUAGAUGACGAUAUGAUAUUUAGAACAUGUUUAGAACACCUCUUUGUAGUAUAGAUGAUGAAUGACUUUAUAUUAUGAAGUUGUUUUUCAAUAUAUAUAUAUUCAAUGGUUUUGUACUUACCUAGUGGUCCUUUCCGCUACGGGACGUAGGGAUAUAUUCUGGUCCGUCCCGAGCGACGGUUUGGUGUUGGCAUAAGGCUUGGAGUGUGUUUCCUUUAGCUAUUUAGCACAGGGACGGGGAGCCGGCAUGGGGCCUGAAGGUUAUCGGACAAAUCACUAGUGUUUAUUACUUAUACAAGUUAUGAAUUUGAGAUACUGCACAUCAUGCUAGGUUUCGGAAAACCUAUGUUUUUCAUUAUAUAUGUGUUUUCAUAAACCUGGAGGUUAGUAUGUUGAUAAUUGUUUUGUUAUAUUUAUAUCAAAUUGGUCCACUCACGUUUGUUUUGCACCCCAUUCAGGACCUACGAACGAGGAUUACGAUUUAAGCUACGAGGCAUUUCCCUACCAGUGAUUCAGUGUUAUAUUUCCUCUGCUUCGACACUUAUUGUAAUAUAGCACAUCUCUAUCUUAUAUUUUGUUUGUACUCUGUAAUAGACGUAUGCUCUGAACUUAUGUGUAUGACCAUAAUUUUAUUAAUUAGCAGUUGAACUUUUGUAUUAUGUUACUAGUUCCUUUUGCCUGUUUUAGCUUAUUUAUGAGCUUUUACUUAAAUUAAAUGGCUUUCGUCACCUUUCAGAUGUUGGUCAGCACGUAACCAUCCCGAUGUCCCGAGGACAUCGGGAUUGGGGCGUGUCAAUUUGUAA